GAAAGCAAAACAUAUAAAGAGAACAGUACAACGUGUAUACAGAGCAUGUGAUCUCUGUGAUGCCCAGAUGGACAAAACAGACCCUCCCACCUCUGUAAUAAACACGGAGAUGUUAGUCCUGUCCAAAUUGGUACAUGAAAAUCACAGACGUCAGGUGAUAAGAAUCGAAACUCAAACGUAGUUUAGAAAACUAGUCCCGUCCGAAUAGUGCUAAAGAGGAGUUUCACAGGAUUGCAGGAUUUCCAAAUGUGGUUGGAUGCCUUGAUGACACACAUAUUCCCAUCAUUGCACCUUCCGAAAAUGAAGCUAUGUCAACAGGAGGUCUAUCCACAGUAUUAAUAUGCAGGCCAAGUGGCCCGGCUCUGUUCAUGACUCACGAAUAUAUCGGGAGUCGACCCUGAGCAACAGGCUGGGAUGUGGAGAGAUUGAUGGCUUUCUGCUGGGAAAUAGGGGUUACCCAUGCCAACCAACACUAAUAGCUAAUAACUAAUAACCCCUGAGAGGCCCUGCUACAUUAUUGCGGCAUGUGUUGUUCUCCAUAAUAUUGCCAUAAUUAGAGCAACACCCUGCCCUACAAACACAAGACCCCGAGGAAGACCCCAUCCACCCAGCAGAUUUCCAGGAUGGAAGGGUAGUCAGAGAUAUUAUUAUAUGCCGCAAUUUCUUCUCAGAUUAAUCAACAACCACCCACAAAAGAAACAAUGAAUAAAUACAA
Sinocyclocheilus rhinocerous is the source of this 715-nucleotide long non-coding RNA. RefSeq lists it as uncharacterized. The record is from RefSeq and is a predicted model, not a curated record. The transcript has 4 exons. NCBI's taxonomy places the organism in Eukaryota, Metazoa, Chordata, Actinopteri, Cypriniformes, Cyprinidae.